GGUUGAUCCUGCCAGUAGUCAUAUGCUUGUCCCAAAGAUUAAGCCAUGCAUGUCUAAGUAUAAACCUUUAUACGGUGAAACUGCGAAUGGCUCAUUAUAUCAGUUAUAAUUUAUUUGAUGAUCAAUUUACUACUUGGAUAACCGUGGUAAUUCUAGAGCUAAUACAUGCAAAGAACCCAACUUUACUGAAGGGUUGUAUUUAUUAGAUAAAAACCAAUGCCAGCAAUGGCCUUUGGUGAGUCAUGAUAACUGCGCGGAUCGUAUGGCCUUGAGCCGACGACGCUUCAUUCAAA
RNAcentral lists this ribosomal RNA (293 nucleotides) under uncultured eukaryote. RNAcentral's name for it is "partial 18S ribosomal RNA". It matches the Rfam family "Eukaryotic small subunit ribosomal RNA", at positions 6 to 303 of the family's 1831-position model. The record is from RNAcentral.